Molecule: ribosomal RNA, 373 nt
Filed under: uncultured bacterium
Lineage: Bacteria
Description: bacterial SSU rRNA
Rfam family: Bacterial small subunit ribosomal RNA
Source: RNAcentral
GGAGUGUGCAAGCGUUACUCGGAUUCACUGGGCAUAAAGCGCGCGUAGGCGGGUUUUCAAGUCGGUUGUGAAAUCCCUCAGCUCAACUGAGGAACUGCAUCCGAUACUGUCUGUCUUGAGGACGGGAGGGGAGAGUGGAACUUCUGGUGGAGCGGUGAAAUGCGUAGAUAUCAGAAGGAACGCCGGUGGCGAAAGCGACUCUCUGGCCCGUAUCUGACGCUGAGGCGCGAAAGCUUGGGUAGCAAACGGGAUUAGAUACCCCGGUAGUCCAAGCCGUAAACGAUGAGCACUAGGGAGAGGAGACCCCGAUGUCUUCUCUCCUGGAGCAAAUGUAUUAAGUGCUCCGCCUGGGGAGUACAGUCGCAAGGCCGAA